UCAGCAGUGAGGAAUAUUGGUCAAUGGCCUAACGGCUGAACUGGCAACUUGGAGAAGUGGCAAGUCUUCCAGUAUGGGGAGCAAACAGCUAUGGGUCAAGCCCGACAUCUUUAGGAGAAGUCUUAUUGUGAGGGCGAGUUGUAAAACACCAUAGGGCUGGCCGUCCCAUAUGAAAAGAUUUUAUUAGAAUUGAAUGAAACUUUGUUUAUAUAUUGAUAAUGACAGUAUAUAUAUCGUGUCUUGACUAAUUGCGUGCCAGCAGUCGCGGUAAUACGUAAGAGACUAGUGUUAUUCAUCUUAAUUAGGUUUAAAGGGUACCCAGACGGUCAAUAUAGCUUAUAAAAUGUUAGUACUUGACUAGAGUUUUAUGUAAGAGGGCAGUACUUGAGGAGGAGAGAUGAAAUUUCGUGAUACCAAAGGGACUCUGUAAAGGCGAAGGCAGCCCUCUAUGUAAAAACUGACGUUGAAGGACGAAGGCACAGAGAACAAACAGGAUUAGAUACCCAAGUAGUCUUUGCAGUAAAUGAUGAAUGCCAUAGGUUAGAUUAAUAGUUAAUGUAUAUAGGCUAGUAUAAUAGACUAUACAUUAAAAAUUAUUUGGUCUAUAAAUGAAAGUGUAAGCAUUUCACCUCAAGAGUAAUGUGGCAACGCAGGAACUGAAAUCACUAGACCGUUUCUGACACCAGUAGUGAAGUAUGUUAUUUAAUUCGAUGAUCCGCAA
This 721-nucleotide ribosomal RNA is filed under the name Fusarium tricinctum. Its description in RNAcentral is "SSU rRNA". It matches the Rfam family "Bacterial small subunit ribosomal RNA", at positions 348 to 964 of the family's 1533-position model. The record is from RNAcentral. Lineage: Eukaryota; Fungi; Ascomycota; Sordariomycetes; Hypocreales; Nectriaceae.